Rhea pennata is the source of this 613-nucleotide long non-coding RNA. RefSeq lists it as uncharacterized. The transcript has 3 exons. Lineage: Eukaryota; Metazoa; Chordata; Aves; Rheiformes; Rheidae. The record is from RefSeq and is a predicted model, not a curated record.
UGGGAGAUUUUACCCUCAACUCUCCUCUCAAGCAACAGCGAAGUCGGAGCGGCUGGGAGGGGGAAACCUCGCUUUAUCAGAGAGGAGAAAGAAGGAAGAAGUGUGAUACAGCUCUGAUUUUUAUUACAGAUGGUGCAAAGGGAAACGUCUUGUACGAAGCCAGCCCCUUCUCUCCCGUUCCGCGCAAAUUAAGGAGGCACCGAGAGUACAGCUCCGCUUUUACUCAAGAAGUUCCAACUCCGCAGACACCUUGCCAGGCAGCGGCUGACCAGCACCACCACCGCCGCCGCCUUCACGCCGCAGCCGGCUCCGUUCUGGGGUCAAACCCACCAAUAUCAGCAAUAAACUUGCAGAAGGAAAGUGGAUUCUUCACUGUCGGGAAAACCCCACUGAAGACAAAGAAGCCACACUGCCACCGCGUGUCUACUGUGUGGAACAGCACCUCCAAGCCUAAGCUGUGUUGCCACCGCAACAGAGGUGUUGAUUAUCUAGCCCACCUAUACCAAGAUGGCAGCCAAUGUUGGUCAUGUGUUGGCAACCUCCAAGUAAAAAACUCCCCUUGGAUCUCUCGUGAGCUGCAAACUGUUCAGCAGUUUUGAAUACUGUCACAGUC